GGGGACGUUUUGGAUUUGACAGGAUGUUUGGUGAAAAUAGGUUGCGAGUCCGAGCGCUGUUCUCGGUUAUCAACGAGCAAAACAAAUUAAAUGCUAACGUUAUUGAAGCAGACUUCUCUAGAGCAUACGCUCAAGCAGCAUAGUCGGUGUAGCUCCUUAUAGGACCCAGCUUGCCGGUUUUAUAAGGCCCUUAUGCAAGACGCAGUACGUUGAUGCAAAGUAGGCGUAUCAAGAUAACUUUGUGGGGUUUAGAGUUUCCCUAAAAUAAAACCUAGGAUUAACUUGUCGGGUUUAGUUUUUUUCCUGAGUUAAUCGAGAGAAUAAGAAACUACACUCGUAGAUAUUUAUUUUGAUCCAUUUUGGACGUGGGUUCGACUCCCACCGUCUCCAUUU
RNAcentral lists this transfer-messenger RNA (393 nucleotides) under bacterium. It matches the Rfam family "transfer-messenger RNA". Rfam says of the family: Bacterial tmRNA, also known as 10Sa RNA or SsrA, is named for its dual tRNA and mRNA-like properties. Its role is to liberate the mRNA from a stalled ribosome. The record is from RNAcentral.